CAGUCGCCACGGGAAUACGUAGGUGGCAAGCGUUGUCCGGAAUUAUUGGGCGUAAAGCGCGCGCAGGCGGAUCAGUUAGUCUGUCUUAAAAGUUCGGGGCUUAACCCCGUGAUGGGAUGGAAACUGCUGAUCUAGAGUAUCGGAGAGGAAAGUGGAAUUCCUAGUGUAGCGGUGAAAUGCGUAGAUAUUAGGAAGAACACCAGUGGCGAAGGCGACUUUCUGGACGAAAACUGACGCUGAGGCGCGAAAGCCAGGGGAGCGAACGGGAUUAGAUACCCGAGUAGUCCCUGUCUCUUAUACA
Molecule: ribosomal RNA, 301 nt
Filed under: uncultured bacterium
Lineage: Bacteria
Description: partial 16S ribosomal RNA
Rfam family: Bacterial small subunit ribosomal RNA
Source: RNAcentral